Molecule: ribosomal RNA, 382 nt
Filed under: uncultured bacterium
Lineage: Bacteria
Description: bacterial SSU rRNA
Rfam family: Bacterial small subunit ribosomal RNA
Source: RNAcentral
AUUGAACGCUGGCGGCAUGCUUUACACAUGCAAGUCGAACGCGAAAGGGGGCAACCCUGAGUAGAGUGGCGCACGGGUGAGUAAUACAUCGGAACGUGUCCUGUAAUGGGGGAUAACGCAGCGAAAGCUGUGCUAAUACCGCAUACGUCCUACGGGAGAAAGCGGGGGAUCGCAAGACCUCGCGUUAUAGGAGCGGCCGAUGCCGGAUUAGCUAGUUGGUGGGGUAAAGGCCUACCAAGGCAACGAUCCGUAGCUGGUCUGAGAGGAUGAUCAGCCACACUGGGACUGAGACACGGCCCAGACUCCUACGGGAGGCAGCAGUGGGGAAUUUUGGGACAAUGGGCGCAAGCCUGAUCCAGCCAUGCCGCGUGAGUGAAGAAGG